RNAcentral lists this ribosomal RNA (400 nucleotides) under uncultured bacterium. RNAcentral's name for it is "bacterial SSU rRNA". It matches the Rfam family "Bacterial small subunit ribosomal RNA", at positions 355 to 773 of the family's 1533-position model. The record is from RNAcentral.
UGGGGAAUAUUGCACAAUGGGCGAAAGCCUGAUGCAGCAACGCCGCGUGAGCGAAGAAGGCCUUUGGGUCGUAAAGCUCUGUCGGGUAGGAAGAUAAUGACGGUACUACCCGAGGAAGCCCCGGCUAACUACGUGCCAGCAGCCGCGGUAAUACGUAGGGGGCGAGCGUUAUCCGGAAUUACUGGGCGUAAAGAGUGCGUAGGUGGCUGCUUAAGCGUGAGGUGAAAGGCAAUGGCUUAACCAUUGUGAGCCUCGCGAACUGGGUGGCUUGAGUGCAGGAGAGGAAAGCGGAAUUCCUAGUGUAGCGGUGAAAUGCGUAGAUAUUAGGAGGAACACCAGUGGCGAAGGCGGCUUUCUGGACUGCAACUGACACUGAGGCACGAAAGCGUGGGGAGCAAAC